This 21-nucleotide non-coding RNA is filed under the name Caenorhabditis elegans. The record is from RNAcentral. Lineage: Eukaryota; Metazoa; Nematoda; Chromadorea; Rhabditida; Rhabditidae.
UGGUCUUAUGGGUCAUUUUUC